Molecule: ribosomal RNA, 218 nt
Filed under: Rhynchostegium serrulatum
Lineage: Eukaryota; Viridiplantae; Streptophyta; Bryopsida; Hypnales; Brachytheciaceae
Description: partial 26S ribosomal RNA
Rfam family: Eukaryotic large subunit ribosomal RNA
Source: RNAcentral
CAGACCUCUAAUCGGAAAAGACUACCCGCUGAGUUUAAGCAUAUCACUAAGCGGAGGAGAAGAAACUAACCAGGAUUUCCCUAGUAACGGCGAGCGAACCGGAAAGAGCCCAGCUUGAAAAUCGUGGUGCCUCGUACCUCGAAUUGUAGUCUGGAGAAGGUCCCUCUGCGCCGCGCCGGAACCAAGUUCCCUGGAAAGGGACGUCAUCGAGGGUGACA